UGAGUGUACUAGGUCAUCGCAAGUAUAAACUCCGCAAGGAUGUACUUGAGGAAAGUCCGGGCAUGGUAGAGCACCCUACUGGGGAAAUCUCAGGCAUGGUACUGGAGACGGUAUUAUGACAGAUAGUGCAGCAGAGAGUAGACUACCGUCAAUUAUGAUAUUGUCAGGCGGUACAGGUGAAAGGGUGGGGUAAAAGCCCACCGCGUGGCUUGGCAACAGGCUGCGGCUGGUAAACCUUAGGGCAUGCAAGGCCAAACGCUGAAUAUAUUCCGUUGCUCGCGGUAUUCAUAGGUAGGCUGCAAGAGAAUACUUGUAAAAGUAUUUUUAGAUGAAUGAUGGCCCACGACAAAACCCGGCUUAUCGGUACAUUAUAAAA
This 376-nucleotide RNase P RNA is filed under the name Alphaproteobacteria bacterium. Its description in RNAcentral is "RNase P RNA component class A". It matches the Rfam family "Bacterial RNase P class A". Rfam says of the family: Ribonuclease P (RNase P) is a ubiquitous endoribonuclease, found in archaea, bacteria and eukarya as well as chloroplasts and mitochondria. Its best characterised activity is the generation of mature 5'-ends of tRNAs by cleaving the 5'-leader elements of precursor-tRNAs. Lineage: Bacteria; Pseudomonadati; Pseudomonadota; Alphaproteobacteria. The record is from RNAcentral.